GUGCUUGUUGUGACAGUGCAUAUACUAAAACUGAAAUGAUAUAGAGAUUAGCAUAACCCUGGAUAAGGAUGAUGUGCAAAUUUAUGAAGCUUCUUAAGUGUAA
This is a small nuclear RNA of Cercocebus atys (sooty mangabey), 103 nucleotides long. The record is from Ensembl. Lineage: Eukaryota; Metazoa; Chordata; Mammalia; Primates; Cercopithecidae.